This 304-nucleotide unclassified non-coding RNA is filed under the name Hevea brasiliensis (rubber tree). The record is from RNAcentral. Lineage: Eukaryota; Viridiplantae; Streptophyta; Magnoliopsida; Malpighiales; Euphorbiaceae.
GUGUAUUCUGGUAAACAACCCCAUUUUGGGCCAAGUCUUCCAAUUUUGAUAGCCGGUUCGCACUAUCAUCUUCUUGUUUGUUAUCAAAAAACGAAGUUUCAGCUCUUGAAACACAGGAUAUUUUCAAGCUGGGUCUAAACGAAUAAAGUAACAAAAGAUUGAAGGAAGAGGGAGGAGUGAAUGUUUUAAGGGGGAAUUUGAGUCCAGGAGAGAUGGAAAGGAGAGGGGUAUUUCGUGAAAUACGGAAAAAUUGUGGUUGGCAGUGCCAUUGAUACACUUUGAGGGGAUUCAUUGUUGAAUGAAG